This 481-nucleotide ribosomal RNA is filed under the name uncultured bacterium. Its description in RNAcentral is "partial 16S ribosomal RNA". It matches the Rfam family "Bacterial small subunit ribosomal RNA", at positions 28 to 507 of the family's 1533-position model. The record is from RNAcentral.
GAUGAACGCUGGCGGCGUGCUUAACACAUGCAAGUCGAACGAAGCACUUUAUUUGAUUUCCUUCGGGACUGAUUAUUUUGUGACUGAGUGGCGGACGGGUGAGUAACGCGUGGGUAACCUGCCUUGUACAGGGGGAUAACAGUUGGAAACGGCUGCUAAUACCGCAUAAGCGCACAGCAUCGCAUGAUGCAGUGUGAAAAACUCCGGUGGUAUAAGAUGGACCCGCGUUGGAUUAGCUAGUUGGUGAGGUAACGGCCCACCAAGGCGACGAUCCAUAGCCGACCUGAUAGGGUGACCGGCCACAUUGGGACUGAGACACGGCCCAAACGCCUACGGGAGGCAGCAGUGGGGAAUAUUGCACAAUGGGCGAAAGCCUGAUGCAGGGACGCCGCGUGAGCGAAGAAGUAUUUCGGUACGUAAAGCUCUAUCAGCAGGGAAGAUAAUGACGUUACCUGACUAAGAAGCACCGGCUAAAUACGUG